CUUGGGUACUCGAGUGGCGAACGGGUGAGUAACACGUGGGUGAUCUGCCCUGCACUUCGGGAUAAGCCUGGGAAACUGGGUCUAAUACCGGAUAGGACCACAUUUUGGAUGGUGUGGUGGAAAGUUUUUCGGUGUGGGAUGAGCUCGCGGCCUAUCAGCUUGUUGGUGGGGUAAUGGCCUACCAAGGCGUCGACGGGUAGCCGGCCUGAGAGGGUGGACGGCCACAUUGGGACUGAGAUACGGCCCAG
Molecule: ribosomal RNA, 248 nt
Filed under: uncultured Actinomycetales bacterium
Lineage: Bacteria; Bacillati; Actinomycetota; Actinomycetes; Actinomycetales
Description: partial 16S ribosomal RNA
Rfam family: Bacterial small subunit ribosomal RNA
Source: RNAcentral